GGCGCAGUAGCCAAGCGGUAAGGCAAUGGUCUGCAACACCAGUACGCGCCGGUUCAAAUCCGGCCUGCGCCUCGA
Molecule: transfer RNA, 75 nt
Filed under: Anaerosacchariphilus polymeriproducens
Lineage: Bacteria; Bacillati; Bacillota; Clostridia; Lachnospirales; Lachnospiraceae
Description: Robinsoniella sp. MCWD5 tRNA-Cys
Rfam family: tRNA
About the family: Transfer RNA (tRNA) molecules are approximately 80 nucleotides in length. Their secondary structure includes four short double-helical elements and three loops (D, anti-codon, and T loops).
Source: RNAcentral